AUGUAAUUCCACAUUGCUAAGUACAUGGGAGAUUAUGAAGCAGAAGAAUAACAGAGGAGUGUAGUUAGUGAUGGUCAUGUUUUGUUGUUGAAUGCUAUUGCUAUCUUUUAUUUGUGUGUGUGUGGAUUUGUAGUGAAGUGAAUGAUGGUGAGGUUGUGUUUGGAUAUUUUAGAAAGUAUCUUACUGGAUGAGGAGGGUGAGGUCACUAGUUGCU
RNAcentral lists this long non-coding RNA (214 nucleotides) under Trifolium pratense (red clover). Its description in RNAcentral is "long non-coding RNA (TPRA_LNC009067)". The record is from RNAcentral. Lineage: Eukaryota; Viridiplantae; Streptophyta; Magnoliopsida; Fabales; Fabaceae.